AUAGAACAUAGGGGUAAAAUGCAGUUUUUGGCUUAUAACUCAAAAACCAAAGCAUUUUGAGGAAAUUUGACAUGGGAUAAAAAUGUUUAUCAGAUCAAUAUCUAUCUGCCCUGAAAUUUUCAGAUGAAUUGGACAAUCGGUUGUUGGCUUGCUGCCCUCCAAUUGGUAAUUUUUAAAGAAAUUUUGCCGUUUUUGGUUAUUAUCUUGAAUACUAUUAUAGAUAGAGAUAAACUGUAAAGAGCAAUAAUUUUCAGCAAAGUAAGAUCUACAAAUAAGUCAACAUGACCUAAAUGGUCAAUUGACCCCUUAAGGAGUUAUUGCCCUUUAUAGUCAAUUUUUAACAAUUUUCAUUAAUUCGGUAAAUUUAUGUCAAUUUUUACCAAAUAUUUUUCUCUGUUACUAAUGGGCAAGGUUCAUUAUAGAUAUAAUUGUAAGAAGCAAGAACGUUCAGUAAAGUAAGAACUUCAAACACAUCACCAUCACCAAAAUACAAUUUUGUCAUGAAUCCAUUUGUGUCCUUUGUUUAAUAUGCACAUAGACCAAGGUGAGCGACACAGGCUCUUUAGAGCCUCUAGUUUUUAAAGGCAGUGCUUUAAGGCCUGACUUUUAAGUCAUGAGGUUCAUCUUUUCAUACGCAAUCUUUGCAGGGGGUCUUUUGGCCAGAAAUAGAUCCGGAAAUGUUCGAAUUUAUCCUCUUCUUUUUAUGGUAUGAUAUGGUUUUUAUUUCUUUCAUUUACAUUGGGGACUAAAAAAACGAUCAGUGUGUUUUGUUUGUUUUAUAGAACUUGUUAUGAGUGUGUAUUUUGCAUUAUAAGCAGUCAACCUGACUACAAACUAUCAUUAUGUGUAUUCCGUGCGGAAAGAGGUCGGGUCAAUUUCGAGUGUUAUCUGACAUCUAAAGAUUCUUUAAUUAGUUCAGACGUUGAUAUAACAAUGAAAAGUCGACUGAACAUGAUUAAUAUUGCAUCUUCUAUAAUUCAAAGCGGAAUUCGGUUUAUGAACGAGAAACUGUAAAGCGUUUUCAAUUUCGGUAUUAGUUAUGUAUGUUGUCUACGUAUUAUCCUGGUUCCCGGUACUACGUUCCGGGUAUUAGCUUUUUGUGUAUGUGAUGUGUAACAUUACGAUCGGGUACCAGCCAAUCUACGUGUGUAUGUGUACAUGAUUUCCCGCCAAAAUGACCGUUUUACAGCUUUGGAAAAAAUAGUUCACAAACGUUCCGUAUAAUGAUAUCAAAUUCAUAAUUAAUCGUAACUUUUUUUUAUCUUUGUAUAAUAAAUAUAACAAAAUGGAUUCCACAAAAUUGAAAAUAGCAUUAUUUUACGAGGAUUUCUCAUAUUUUUCUCACUUCCGGCGCAGUAAUACGUAUGUUUCGAAGAAGCUCGAAGAAUUUGACAAAGUGAAUUGAGAAGGAAACGGAUAGAUUUACGUCCUUGCUAUCAGGGCACAAACCCACUUUAAAGACACUUGUCUACUGCCAUACCCAUCCUAAUUUCAUGCACCAUUUGCAAGCAAGAGACUGAAUGGUUUGCAAAAUUAAAAAUCAGGACGGUGUCCAAUUAAAACAAAAGAACUAAACUGGAUGAAUAUUGUAGGAGAAAUCUAGAGGAAAGUUUUGAUUUGUGAAAUUGGUUUUCCUGAAAAGCCAUUCAUCCUAGCCUGCAGAAAGGAACUAUAACUGUCCACCACCAACUGACGAGCUAAUGUUGAGCUUCACAUAUGGAAUUAAUCAAAUACCAUCAACGUUUGUGUUUUCAGCACAGAUUUCACAAGUUAUGACACAGCUGUGUUUUUUUAUACCUGUUUAUAGAGUUGUAUACUAAAUUUUAUUUUUUUUAUCAAUAAAUAUAUAUUGUGUCA
Long non-coding RNA from Mytilus trossulus (common blue mussel), 1857 nucleotides. RefSeq lists it as uncharacterized. The transcript is spliced from 2 exons. The record is from RefSeq and is a predicted model, not a curated record. Lineage: Eukaryota; Metazoa; Mollusca; Bivalvia; Mytilida; Mytilidae.